This 449-nucleotide ribosomal RNA is filed under the name uncultured bacterium. RNAcentral's name for it is "partial 16S ribosomal RNA". It matches the Rfam family "Bacterial small subunit ribosomal RNA", at positions 30 to 523 of the family's 1533-position model. The record is from RNAcentral.
AUUGAACGCUGGCGGCAGGCUUAACACAUGCAAGUCGAACGAGAUCUUCGGAUCUAGUGGCAGACGGGUGAGAAACACGUGGGAACAUCCCUUUCAGUUCGGAAUAACGUUGGGAAACUAACGCUAAUACCGGAUACGUCCUUCGGGAGAAAGAUUUAUCGCUGAAAGAUUGGCCCGCGUCUGAUUAGCUAGUUGGUGAGGUAAUGGCUCACCAAGGCUACGAUCAGUAGCUGAUCUGAGAGGAUGAUCAGCCACAUUGGGACUGAGACACGGCCCAAACUCCUACGGGAGGCAGCAGUGGGGAAUAUUGGACAAUGGGCGCAAGCCUGAUCCAGCCAUGCCGCGUGAGUGAUGACGGCCUUCGGGUUGUAAAGCUCUUUUGUCCGGGAAGAUAAUGACUGUACCGGAAGAAUAAGCCCCGGCAAACUUCGUGCCAGCCGCCGCCGUAA